AUGAACGCUGGCGGCAUGCCUAACACAUGCAAGUCGAACGAUGCUUUCGGGCAUAGUGGCGCACGGGUGCGUAACGCGUGGGAAUCUGCCCUUGGGUUCGGAAUAACAGUUGGAAACGACUGCUAAUACCGGAUGAUGACGUAAGUCCAAAGAUUUAUCGCCCAGGGAUGAGCCCGCGUAGGAUUAGGUAGUUGGUGUGGUAAAGGCGCACCAAGCCGACGAUCCUUAGCUG
Molecule: ribosomal RNA, 232 nt
Filed under: Sphingomonas sp. ISO534_OTU921
Lineage: Bacteria; Pseudomonadati; Pseudomonadota; Alphaproteobacteria; Sphingomonadales; Sphingomonadaceae
Description: partial 16S ribosomal RNA
Rfam family: Bacterial small subunit ribosomal RNA
Source: RNAcentral